Long non-coding RNA from Cannabis sativa, 1544 nucleotides. RefSeq lists it as uncharacterized. NCBI's taxonomy places the organism in Eukaryota, Viridiplantae, Streptophyta, Magnoliopsida, Rosales, Cannabaceae. The transcript is spliced from 2 exons. The record is from RefSeq and is a predicted model, not a curated record.
ACUAGUGACUCUCACAAAACUUUAUUCCAAAAUAGACUACAUAAAUUUGACAUAUUUAUUUGAUGAUCCAACACACAUUUUAUAUAUAAAAUUGUGACUCCAAUAAAUUUCCAACAAAAGAUUUAAUACCAAAUUGAUGGAGAUUCCACACCAAAUUAGUGUAACUAUUAGAGAUGGUCUAAAGAAAUUGAAAUAAAACCCUAAAUUUAGUUUUGGAAUUUUUUUUUCAAUAUUGUAUCAAUACAAGUAGUUAUAUUGUUCAAUUAUUAGUUCAAAAUUAGAAUUGGUCUAAAUUACUGUUUUACUUUUUUAGUUAUUUAUUUUUGCAUUAGUACUAAUUAUUUGGUUUACGUACCAUUUGCAUUUUUAAAUUCCCAAAAUAAAAAUUGUAAAUCAUUAUUGUAAAUUAUGUUUAACCAUUUGCAUUUUUCAUAUUCCUAAAACAAAAAUUGCAACUUUCUUUAUCAAAGGAACUUUAACGAGUAAAUAAAAACUUUAAUAAACAUAAUUGGGAGUACAUAAUUGCUCAAAAUUUAAAUUGAUUUACUAAAAAUCAUUUUAUAAGAUGUGAAUUAAGACUUUAUUUAACCAGUAUAUUUUAUAAAGUAAUUAAUUCACAUCAUUCGAAUCAUAAAGAAUCAUUAUUGUAGGAAAUUAUGUAUCAAAAAUAUCCCUACACCAACUUAACCAAGGUCAAAACAGACUUUUUGCAAAUUCACGCAGAAUGAGAUUUGUAAUCCCUAAAACAAUUGUGUAUUAGUUUGAUAUAAAACCAUCGUGCGAAUGAUCGAGAAAUCCUUCGAUCUUCAACAUGAAUCCCUAGCAGCUAGGUUUCCUCCUUCUUCCUCAAGCUCGAUCUUAAGCUUCAAAACCCUAAACCUUUAACCUGCAAUCCAAACACAAAACUAGAGCCCCAAAACAAAAAGGAUCUAGAUCAAUCUUUGUUGAUUAGAGAUAAACAAAAAACACAUAAUGAACACAAGAGAUUUGAUCUUCGAGUUCAUCCUAAAAUUAAAGCUAUGUCCCUGUCAAGCUCGCCUCAGAGAUGCUUGAUCGUUCACUAUCAAUCAUCAACAUGUUACAAGAAUUAGAUGGAGAUUCCAGCUACAAAUCACAGCAGCUACUUCUCUCUCUUACUGAGAUGCGAGUCUUGAUCAGGUAGUUCUGAACACGAGGUCUCAUUCCUUUUAUAGAGAUAUAUGUUAUUAGUGAAGAGUAGAUUAAUUCGUUGCUGAGUUGGAUAGAAAUUAGAAUGUUGUAACUGAUUUUGUUUUUGUUGUAGCUCUUUCAUUAUGUUUGUAACUGUAAUAAGUAGUUGAUAGUGCUUGUAAGGGAUUGCUUGUAUGGGAUCUGAAAUUGGAUGGAUGGGAAAUUUGGAAGAAGUUUAAGAAAUGGAAUUAAUGUAUGAUAUGGUGUGAUUUAAGCUUAAAUAUACUUAUAUUAGUAGAGAGUGAUUGAAUAAUGCUUAUGGAGUGGAUUUCUUUUGCAUAAAAAUAUUAUUUAUUGUGUAGGGACUAAUUUAAAACAAAAUAAUUUGGCAAGUA